CUUUAUUAAAGCAACUACUAUUCACAUGAAUAGACUUGAUGCUCACCACAGAACUAGCUUGUCUUGUCAGCCAGCCCUAACAAGUGCUUCUUCUGAAAGCUUUAUAUCCUUUCUCACACUGCCCAGCCUUGUUUUACUGCAGUGUAUACGUAUAUUUGGCACUAACCUAAUUCCCUUCAUUUCUUCUUCUAUUGCAGGUCAUUACUGCGCCCAUUGGUAAGCUCAUUCUACUGCCUGGAACUGAAACGGGCCACAGGAAAUCAGAUUUUGGAGCUGCUGUCACAAACAGCUGACAAAUGACAAGUGUGCUAUUCCCAAGGCCGCGACCAGAGGCAGUUGGUAGAACCACUUUAUCUUAGGAGGACUGUUAUGAAGGAGGCCAGUUGUUUUCUUAUCUUCAGCAGAAGGGUGGGCCUGGAACCAGCCCUCAGAGCCUCCUGUUGGCACAGAUAAAGAAUCACGUGCUAACGGGUGGAGUUCAUCCAAGGCGAAUAUGGCGAGCAGAGAUGUUAGCAGCUGAGUAAGAAAGUGGGUACUUUGGGAUCAGAAAUACUGGCAGGACACUGGAAGAACUUCAUGGGAGACUGGAGCUAGUACACUUGUCCUUGCUUUUCUAGGACACGAGAGACAUGAAACCUUUAGCGCAGCAGUGGUUGCUUUCUGCUGUGAUGGCUCAUUGGUUCAACAGAUGUGAGCAAACCUAUAGAUGGGCUGCAUCUCACAGUCUUAAAAGGCAUGAUCAGCAUGUGAUCCUCUUGAAAGCAUAAGGACCAUGCUUUCAUUCAGUCAUCUGGUAAUGAUGUCAAACAGCUGUGCUAGAUAUAGAUGGUUAUAGAUACAUUGGCUAGCUGUGCCGCUAUAACUAACAUAAACCUUAUUUCCUCUCCUACAAUAUUGCACUUACUCGUGUCUGUACAGGAAUUUUAGCAAGUAGUGUAGCUGCAUCAGUUUGUAUCACUGCAGUGUGAUGUGAACCUUGUUGCAAAUACUGCUGCACUGGUGGAAACCAUUACAAAAAGUUUCUUUCUCUCCUGCUGGUAAUAGCUCAUCUUAACUGAUCACUCUCGUUAUACAGUAGUGUGUAGGGUAACACACAUUGUUUCAUGUUCUCUGUGUAUAUAUAUAUCUUCCCACUGUAUUUUCCACUGCAGGCAUCCAAUGAAGUGGGUUUUAGCCCAAGAAAGCUUAUGCUCAAAUAAAUUUGUUAGUCUCUAAGGUGCCACAAGUA
Molecule: long non-coding RNA, 1228 nt
Organism: Gopherus flavomarginatus (Mexican gopher tortoise)
Lineage: Eukaryota; Metazoa; Chordata; Testudines; Testudinidae
Exons: 3
Source: RefSeq, a predicted model, not a curated record